AUGCACGCCGGCGGCGUGCCUAAUACCUGCAAGUCGCGCGAACAGACGAGGAGCUUGCUCCUCUGACGUUAGCGGCGGACGGGUGAGUAACACGUGGAUAACCUACCUAUAAGACUGGGAUAACUUCGGGAAACCGGAGCUAAUACCGGAUAAUAUAUUGAACCGCAUGGUUCAAUAGUGAAAGACGGUUUUGCUGUCACUUAUAGAUGGAUCCGCGCCGCAUUAGCUAGUUGGUAAGGUAACGGCUUACCAAGGCGACGAUGCGUAGCCGACCUGAGAGGGUGAUCGGCCACACUGGAACUGAGACACGGUCCAGACUCCUACGGGAGGCAGCAGUAGGGAAUCUUCCGCAAUGGGCGAAAGCCUGACGGAGCAACGCCGCGUGAGUGAUGAAGGUCUUCGGAUCGUAAAACUCUGUUAUUAGGGAAGAACAAAUGUGUAAGUAACUAUGCACGUCUUGACGGUACCUAAUCAGAAAGCCACGGCUAACUACGUG
This 496-nucleotide ribosomal RNA is filed under the name uncultured bacterium. RNAcentral describes it as "partial 16S ribosomal RNA". It matches the Rfam family "Bacterial small subunit ribosomal RNA", at positions 29 to 507 of the family's 1533-position model. The record is from RNAcentral.